GAGCGCUCCCUCCGCAGCUGACGAUGACUGCGACCCCUGCUGAGAACCCGGACCUCAGACCAUGUCUGAUCCUGAAUGGCUCCAUCUUUUCUACCCUUUAACUUCUCCUCAGCUGGAUGUUCGUUCAUGGAUGUACACGCACGUCUGUGCAACAAGACUGGCUGCUGCUUUCUAGUCUCCACCUGCGUCGUUUGGAAAUAAAAUGACUCCGGAUUCUCAGGGAACGCCAUACAGGAUCUUUGCCUUUGGACGUAAACUGUGAUAUAAUCUGUUUAAAGAGGAGGAUAACCAUGCAGCAGACCUACUUCUAUGUGGAUUUGAUUUUCUGCGCGCUGGAGCGGUGGAGCCAUAUCACCAAAAGGCUGGUGUUCAAUAGCUUCUAAAGGCAGCAUCACGACCGAGAGGGAGGAUUAUAGAGUCUGGAGGAGCCUGCUGAAUUUACCCGCUGGAUAAAGUGAAGUUUCCGAGCUAGGCUGGGCGGCUGUGGUCUGUAUUUUUAACACCUCGAUGCGUUGGGCUCUGUGGCUUCACACUAAGUGGAAAUCAAGCUAUUUUCAACGAGCAGCCCUUUCCGUCGUGUGAUGAUGACUACGGUGAUGGUGAUGAAGCGCAGGAUGGAUCCGGAGAGGAUACCAGGAGCUUAGGGGAUGACAUCCACCCUCUCUGGCUGAAUGUGGGUAUCCGUGCCGCGGCGAAGGAUGGGAAGGAUGGGCCCUCUCCUCCUCUCGGCCGCCUGCGUCCUCCUGCUGGCCCCGCGCGCCGCCCGUCCGGCCUCGGUGGGAAACCCCGAGGAUUACGCCGCAGAGGAGGCGGAGCGGCCGGCCGGCGACAACAUCGUGUUCGAUGACUACCGGGGGAAAGGCUGCGUGGACGACAGCGGCUUCGUGUACAAGCUGGGAGAACGCUUCUACCCGGGACACUCGAACUGUCCGUGUGAAUGCACGGAGGACGGGCCCGUGUGCGACCAGCCGGAGUGCCCCAAACUGCACCCCAAGUGCACCAAAGUGGAGCACAAUGGCUGCUGCCCCGAGUGCAAGGAGGUUAAAAACUUCUGCGAGUACAGAGGAAAAACCUACAAAAUCCUGGAGGAAUUCAAGGUGUUUCACCUACAGGGCUCCCCGUCAGACGAGGAAGGGACCGCCCCCCCCAGCAUGGCUGCCGGCGUGCCUCAGGCCUCAGCGCAGCUGCAAUCAAGAGCCCGGAGUUCUAGGCCGUCGCCCUGUGAAUGGUGCCGCUGCGAACCAAAUAACGAGGUGCACUGCGUGGUGUCCGACUGCGCCGUCCCGGAGUGCGUGAACCCCGUGUACGAGCCGGAGCAAUGCUGCCCCAUCUGUAAAAACGGUCCAAAUUGCUUCGCUGGAACGACGAUCAUCCCAGCCGGGAUUGAAGUGAAGGUGGACGACUGCACCAUCUGCCGCUGCCACAACGGAGACUGGUGGAAGCCGGCGCAGUGCUUGCGGCGGGAGUGCCUCAACGGCCAGUCGUUGUCAUAGAGAGACUCCACCGGGAACGGUGGGAACGCUCAGGCAAGGCCCUGCCUACUGCACCAUUUUGUAUGAUUGACAGGGCAGGAGCACAAUUCCUAAGCAACCUGAGACGGCAUAGACGGAGGAGAUGCUCUCACAAGCUUCACACAAAAACAAAUUUAGCCACUGGGAAGAAGACGGAACCGAUCUCAUGACUGUUUCCACCCUCCAGUUUGAACCGUCCUAUAUAUUUUCAGAAAUUGACUUGCUUGACUUGCUGCUCUCACACAAGAAGUUUCUAAGCUCUUUGAACUCUUUCCUAACCAUUGGCAAUGAAGUAUUGCUCAUGUUGAUUUUCUCUAUCCUCCAUCCCUGCACAGCUCCACGGACAGGAAAGCUGCAGAUUUACCGUCUUUGUGUGUGUUUGUGAACGUCCAUCUCUCAUCAGCUUGUACAUGAGCAUUUUGUAAAGGCCAACCACCGCUCAUUCCACGAGACACCGACUUACUGUAGCUGGAACUAUGAAUGAUUGUUUUUCUUUGCUCCCUUCUUCUUCUUUCUUUCAGCAACGAAACUGUUAAAUGACGUGUGCCUGAAAACCAACACAGAGUAUCUGGAGAGAGAAACACUGUUAUUAUACAAUCAAUUGUAUUGAUUUUGGGGCACCAAGGGUCUGUUGAUGAGAGACUCAGAUGUUGGGAUCAUUUCUAUGACUCAUUUUAAAUUCAGAGACUCUUUGAUUGUAUAUGACUCCAUGCUCUGGGUUUACCCCCAGCUCAAAUAAAGGGUCUCAGUCUGAACAAGCUCAACAGCCCUUGGUGUUUCCCCAUGCUGUUCAUAUGUAAAUAUCUUCAAACAUAUGUGUAUUCUGA
RNA transcript from Cheilinus undulatus (humphead wrasse), 2338 nucleotides. It is a transcript of the gene named von Willebrand factor C domain containing 2 like, with no coding region annotated. The transcript is spliced from 6 exons. Lineage: Eukaryota; Metazoa; Chordata; Actinopteri; Labriformes; Labridae. The record is from RefSeq and is a predicted model, not a curated record.